UGGACUGUUGUGUGUUCAUUUUCAAUUGUUUCCAGAAUUUUUUAAAUUUCUUCCUUGGUCUCAUUAUUAACCAACUCAUUGUUUAUUAACAUGGUUAUUUAGCCUCCAGGUCUU
Phyllostomus discolor (pale spear-nosed bat) is the source of this 114-nucleotide long non-coding RNA. RefSeq lists it as uncharacterized. Lineage: Eukaryota; Metazoa; Chordata; Mammalia; Chiroptera; Phyllostomidae. The record is from RefSeq and is a predicted model, not a curated record. The transcript is spliced from 4 exons.